AUGGCCAAGCUCGCCUCCAUCCUGACUCUCAUCGCGCUGCUCGGCUGCGCGGCGCGUACCUGCCAAGCAGAUUACGGGAAUCCCACCCCUGUUCCGUCCGUACCGAGCAUAACUAGUCCCCCGCCGCCAUACACCCCGACUACACCUAGUCCUCCUCCACCAUACACCCCGAGCACACCUAGUCCUCCACCGCCCACCCCAGCUACCCCAAGUCCUCCACCACCAUACACCCCGACUACACCUAGUCCUCCACCGCCCACCCCAGCUACCCCAAGUCCUCCGCCGCCAUACACCCCGAGCACACCUAGCCCUCCACUGCCGACCCCUAGCCCACCGACCAAAGGACUCGCGGUCGGCUACUAUCAGAAGUCAUGCCCUCGCGCGGAAGACAUUGUGAGGGAAGUUGUGCGUGAUGCCAACGCCGGUAUCAUGGCUGGACUCAUCCGUCUCUUCUUCCAUGACUGCUUCGUCAGGGGUUGCGAUGCCUCCGUGCUUCUCGAUCAAGUAGACCCCAACAGCCCACCAGAGAAGUUGGGCGUCCCGAACCUGAGCCUGCGUGGCUUCGAGGUGAUUGAUGCCGCCAAGGCUAGAAUCGAGAAGGAGUGUGGGAGCGACGUAGUCUCAUGCGCUGAUGUCCUGGCCUUCGCUGGGCGUGAUGCCACCUACUUCCUUAGCAACAAGAAGGUCUACUUCAACAUGACAGCUGGCCGUUAUGAUGGACGUGUGUCUUUCAUGAAUGAAACACUCCCCAACCUGCCACCACCCUUCGGCACCGUGGACCAGCUCAAGGCCAACUUCGCCUCCAAGGGGCUGACUGCCGACGAGAUGGUUACACUCUCUGGUGCACACACCGUCGGAAUCUCCCAUUGCUCGUCCUUCAACUCAUCCUUCUCUGACCGCCUCAACCCAAGCACCUCCGACAUGGACCCCACACUAAUGAGCUCUCUCCGGGAGCAAUGCAAGUCAGACAAUGGGACCGACAACACGGUGGUGCAGGACAUCGAGACCCCUAACAAGGUCGACAACAAGUACUAUAAGAAUGUGCUUAGCCACAAGGUGCUCUUUGAUUCAGAUGCCGCGCUCAUGACGGCAGAUGAUACAAGUGCAGCGGUGCGUGCCAAUGCCAAGGACAACGAUGUGUGGGAGGAGAAGUUCAAGGAAGCCAUGGUAAGGAUGGGCGCUAUCGAAGUCAAGACCAGGGACGAUUUUUUCAAUGGUGCCGCUGUUGAGAUCAGGAGGAAUUGUCGCAUCGUCAACUCAUACUAA
RNAcentral lists this ribosomal RNA (1266 nucleotides) under Triticum aestivum (bread wheat). RNAcentral describes it as "partial small subunit ribosomal RNA". The record is from RNAcentral. Lineage: Eukaryota; Viridiplantae; Streptophyta; Magnoliopsida; Poales; Poaceae.